Molecule: ribosomal RNA, 253 nt
Filed under: uncultured bacterium
Lineage: Bacteria
Description: partial 16S ribosomal RNA
Rfam family: Bacterial small subunit ribosomal RNA
Source: RNAcentral
UACGUAGGGGGCAAGCGUUGUCCGGAUUUAUUGGGCGUAAAGAGCGUGUAGGCGGCUAUACAGGUCCGCUGUGAAAACUCGAGGCUCAACCUCGAGACGUCGGUGGAAACCGUAUGGCUAGAGUCCGGAAGAGGAGAGUGGAAUUCCUGGUGUAGCGGUGAAAUGCGCAGAUAUCAGGAGGAACACCAGUGGCGAAGGCGGCUCACUGGACCGGUACUGACGCUGAUGCGCGAAAGCGUGGGGAGCAAACGGG